Molecule: small nuclear RNA, 107 nt
Organism: Callithrix jacchus (white-tufted-ear marmoset)
Lineage: Eukaryota; Metazoa; Chordata; Mammalia; Primates; Cebidae
Source: Ensembl
GUGCUCGCUGCGGCAGCACAUAUACUAAAAUUGGAAUGAUACAGAGAAAAUUAGCAUGGCCCCUGAGCAAGGAUGACACACAAAUUCGUAAAGUAUUCUGUAUUUUU